RNAcentral lists this long non-coding RNA (4194 nucleotides) under Oryza sativa (Asian cultivated rice). Its description in RNAcentral is "long non-coding RNA (OSAT_LNC000838)". The record is from RNAcentral. Lineage: Eukaryota; Viridiplantae; Streptophyta; Magnoliopsida; Poales; Poaceae.
CUAAUUUUUGUCAUGCUCAUGUGAAUGGAAUCUUGCUUUAUCGUGUGCUUUCUACUGAAAUAGAAGUUUUUCAAAUAAUUAUUCCUAGUCAUUUAUAAAUACUUUGGAAGGAAUUCCUACCUUCCGGAGCAGAUCACAACCAUUUCACUAUGUCCCCACAAAGAUACGGUAGAACCAGCAAGUUGAAUAGAUAGUAUUUUUUGGGACACAAUAGAAUCAAUAAUACUGCAUAAGAUUAACCUACACGUAGGAAUUAUAAAGGCGCUCCUUGAUGGAGCAUUUCAAUACAACAUUAUCACAAGAAGAAAAUGAUAUAUAGAACACAAUACCUGGGAGCAGCUUGAUCCGUCUGACCUGCCAUUUUGCCAAGCUACCUGAGAACAAAGGUGCAUACAUACUAUCACACUUUAAUGCGAACUGAAAGUAUGUAUUUGCAAUACAGGCAUUAGGAAUUUAGAUAAGAGUAUUUGCAGAAACCUGAUGUUUAUACAUACAAUCUCAUAGAUUCUCUUAACUCCUAAGGUAGAUGUUCUAGGACUCCUUACACUUCGCUGCGGUGUCCCACAUAUGGCGUCCUCCUUGAUUAGAUUAAAACUGUACUGUAUGUCUGCAUCAGAAUCAUAGAAUGUUCUUACGAUGUUAGUAGUUCUGUAUAACCAGCAUCCUCUGUUCAGUUGAGGUAAUUCCCCUUCACCUUCCAUCAAAAUGACCGUAGGUGUACACCUUGAAAAAUCCCAGAUAGCCAGACAGGUGAACAGUAUGUUACAGAAAUUAAGAGCAUGAAGAAGGCAAUGGGGGUCUAGAUAGGUCAUGUUUUGUGGCUGUGUGCAUUUCUUGCAGAGGUCGGGAGUGGGCUCAAUUAGAAUGUAUCAUCUUGUUGUAUUUGACUGAGUUUUAAUAAAGCUUCCAUUAUUGAGAAAUGGGCAACAUGGAAAAAUAACAUAUUUCAGGCUUAAACUUGCGAUGUGCAACAACAGAAAAGAAGACCACAGCUUUGACGCAGUUUAUUAAGUUUCAUAUAAUAGAAUACUUGAGUUCUGAGGUUUUUGGGCCUGGUUUCCCCUCAAAAACUGGGCCAAGUCUCUUCUUCUUUAAUGAAAACAGGCUCUCCCUGUCCUCUUCUAAGGCUUUUCCUCAAAAAAAGAAUACUUGAGUUCUUUAUGACUAAGCAACUAAAUAGUGUAGUUCACAAGUUUUACUUGGCAUACGUACCAUAAAAUGAAAUUAAAGGUAUGGUUUUUGCAAAAUGGCACACUUGUGUCAAUUAUCAUUUGAACCAGAAGAAAUAUCAGAUUUUUUUAAUUCUCCUUUUGUACAAAUACACGUUUGUUCAUUGCAAAACAGGGAUCCAAUUCACCUGCGGCACACAAGAACCAUUUCCAGAUGCUUCAAAAGAAGAAAAUGUGAAAAACAGGAGGAAAUCUUCUUAUGGAGAGGCAACUAUUUCACAACAUUUCACUUUCUCUUGGAUGAAUGGUCUUCUUGCUAAAGGUGCCAAUAAGCCUUUGAAUGAGGAUGACAUACCAGAUGUUGGUGAGGAGGAAAGUGCCCAACACAUCUCCAGAAUAUUCAGUAAUAUCAUUGUGAAAGGGAAUUUUCCUCUGACAGUUUCAUCGAUUUGUAAAGCAGCCUUCCUUCUCAUUUGGAAGAAGGCGGCACUCAAUGCAACCUUUGGAGUCCUAAGUGUAGUCGCCUCCUUUGUGGGGGCAUACUUAAUCAAGGACUUCGUGGGCUAUCUAAGUGGAGAUAAUGGAUUUGAAAGAGGCUACUCUCUUGUUCUUGUAUUUGUAGGUGCGAAGGCUAUUGAAACUCUUGCUUACAGACAAUGGUUCUUUGGAAGUCUACAGGUUUAUUUGCGCCUAAGAACAUCUCUGAUAUCUCAGGUAUACCAAAAGGUCCUUUAUUUAUCAAGCCAGUCAAGGCAGAAACAUACCUCAGGGGAGAUAAUUAACUAUGUGAGUGUUGACAUCGAGAGGAUUGUUAAUGUUGCAUGGUAUGUGAACAUGGUCUUCAUGAUGCCUAUACAGAUUACACUAGCAACUUAUAUUCUUUGGAAAAAUCUUGGUCUGGGUUCUUUAGCUGGAAUAGCAACAACAGCCAUAAUAAUGCUUUGCAAUAUUCCUUUUACAAGAAUCCAGAAAAGAUUGCACGCAGGAAUUAUGAAAGCAAAAGAUGACAGAAUGGACAUGACAUCUGAAGUUAUAAGAAGCAUGAAGAUCUUAAAACUUCAAGCUUGGGAUAUCCAAUACCUUAGGAAAUUGGAAUAUUUGAGGAAAGGAGAACAUUUGUGGUUGUGGGAAUUUCUAAGACUAAAAGCACUACUAGCAUUUAUGUUCUGGGGAGCACCCGCUGUCAUAUCAAUCAUGACAUUUGCUUCAUGCAUUCUGAUGGGAAUCCCUCUAACAGCUGGAAGAGUGUUGUCCACACUAGCAACUGUGAAUAUACUGAAGGAGCCUAUCUUUAGUCUACCAGAAUUGCUUACUGCCUUUGCACAGGGGAAGAUCUCAGCUGACAGAAUAGUGUCAUAUCUCCAAGAAGAAGAAAUAAGAUCUGAUGCAAUUGAGGAAGUAGCAAUAGACGAAAAUGAAUUUUCUGCAGAGAUUGAUCAGGGAGCAUUCAGUUGGAAAACUGAUGCAAAAAUCCCAACACUUCAAGAUAUACAUGUAAAGAUACACAAAGGGAUGAAAGUGGCAGUAUGUGGAGCUGUUGGGAGUGGAAAAUCUAGCCUGUUGUCAUGUGUACUUGGAGAGAUGCCAAAAGUGCAAGGAACGGUUAAGGUCUUUGGAACCAAAGCAUAUGUUCCACAGUCGUCAUGGAUACUUUCUGGGACUAUUAGAGAAAACAUUCUCUUUGGGAGCCCAUUUGAAACUGAUAGGUAUGAGCGGACAAUUGAAGCAUGUGCCUUGGUUAAAGACAUCGGAGUUUUCUCGGAUGGUGAUAUGACAGAUAUAGGAGAACGGGGAACGACUAUGAGUGGGGGACAAAAGCAACGGAUUCAAAUAGCAAGAGCAGUUUACAAGGAUGCUGAUGUCUACCUGUUUGAUGAUCCUUUCAGUGCUGUAGACCCUCAAACUGGGAGGCAUCUAUACAAGGUCCUUUUCCCCUUAAGAGCCAACAAAAGAAAAUAACACCAGGGUCACAAAAAUAUAAUGCUUUGAUGGUUUCAAAUUUUCCAUAGUUAAAAGAAGUCAUCAUGUUCUCUAGGACAAACAAUGGGCAUCGUAUAUUUGAGAUCUUGUGAUUAUUCAAUAAUCUUGUCCAUAUUAUUAUUGAUAUUUAUUUCUCUCGCUAAAAUAAAUUGCUCAUAUCUAUAUUUUUACUGGCAAGGAGAAGCCCUGUUACAUAACCAUUAACAUUGGCUCUAUACAUUUUUUGCAGAAAUGCCUGAUGGGGGUCCUAAGGGAUAAAACUGUGUUAUACGUCACGCACCAAGUUGAAUUUCUAGUUGAUGCAGACCUUAUUAUGGUAAGCCCCUGAAAAAAAAACUAAAGACAUGAUUGUACUGAACAUUAGGAUAAAUAAUGAUGACUGCUAAAAACAUGCUGUGCAUAUGGGAAUCCUUUUAGAGAAUUUACAGCCCUUUGCAGGCUUGAGGUGUAGAGGUAUCUCCUAGUGUUAGUUUUGUAUAACUUUCAGUAGCUACACCUAUCAGUUCUCAUGAUCCACACUAGGAGAUACUACUACCUCUCAAUAACUCAUAAGGAUCCCAGAAAAGAAACUAGUAUGUUUAACUUGACUGGUUGAAGCAAUAUUGCAGGUGAUGCAAAAUGGAAGGAUAGCACAAGCAGGGAAAUUUCAAGAACUCCAACAGAACAUGGCUUUUGGAGUUAUCUUUGGGGCUCACUUUUGUGCCGUCGAACAAGUUUGUAACGCAAAAGGCACAAGCAUAUAUUUGUCAAAGCAUCAUGCAGAAUCAGAAAAGGUACCAAGCAUCAAUGAGUCCGAUGCAGAAAAGGAAAUCAGCAGCAAAUGGCAAAACACAAAUAUGAUAAAUUGCAGACAAGAAGUAUUUAGAGAUAACACUGAAGAAGGGAAAUUGCUGCAGGGUGAAGAAAGAGAGAAUGGAUACAUUAGCAAGCAAGUGUAUUGGUCAUACCUCACAGCUGCUCGAGGUGGUCUUUUCAUUCCUAUGAUAAUUGCAGCACAAUGCUUCUUUCAGAUAUUUGAAGUGGGAAGCAACUAUUGGAUGGCAUC